This 318-nucleotide unclassified non-coding RNA is filed under the name Hevea brasiliensis (rubber tree). Lineage: Eukaryota; Viridiplantae; Streptophyta; Magnoliopsida; Malpighiales; Euphorbiaceae. The record is from RNAcentral.
AAAAAAUCAAUCUAUGGGUUGAAACAAUCCCCUUGAGUCUGGUUCACUCGGUUUAGUAGUGCUAUGAUCAGGUUUGGCUACAAGCAAGGGCAAGUUGAACACACCUUGUUUGUAAAGCAAGCAGAUGAUGGCAGAAAAUCAAUUCUAAUAGUUUAUGUUAAUGAUAUAGUAAUAACUGGAGAUGAUACUCAAGAGAUUAAUAAAAAGCUCAAGAGAUGCCUACAAGCUGAAUUUCAGGUUAAAGAUCUUGGGAAGCUACAAUACUUCCUUGGAAUGGAAAUUGCGAGGAGUAAACAGGGUAUUUUUAUUUGUCAAAGG